UUCCGAUCAUAACUUUCCCAGACUAUUGACGUUUGUGAAGAACUUGCAUAGUAAAAGGUCACAAGAUACACCUAGCACACAAUUACCUAGCAAGCAACUCACCAAAACAUGUAAUUAUGACAAAUAAAACAAAAGACUCUUUUUCUGGGUGGCUGUGAUUUUUAAAUUGGUAUGCAUUACUUGACAAUUAUUUUUGUAAAUCAGCAAGCAAAC
This is a non-coding RNA of Pelobates cultripes (western spadefoot toad), 213 nucleotides long. Lineage: Eukaryota; Metazoa; Chordata; Amphibia; Anura; Pelobatidae. The record is from the annotation of a GenBank genome assembly.